RNAcentral lists this ribosomal RNA (694 nucleotides) under Cytophaga hutchinsonii. RNAcentral describes it as "SSU rRNA". It matches the Rfam family "Bacterial small subunit ribosomal RNA", at positions 111 to 803 of the family's 1533-position model. Lineage: Bacteria; Pseudomonadati; Bacteroidota; Cytophagia; Cytophagales; Cytophagaceae. The record is from RNAcentral.
UAACACGUAUGCAACCUGCCUUCAACUGGGAGAUAGCCCGGGGAAACUCGGAUUAAUACCCCAUAACAUGGUGAAACAGCAUUGUUUUAUCAUUAAAGCUCCGGCGGUUGAAGAUGGGCAUGCGUUCGAUUAGCUAGUUGGUGUAAGUAACGGCUCACCAAGGCUACGAUCGAUAGGGGGUCUGAGAGGAUGAUCCCCCACACUGGUACUGAGAUACGGACCAGACUCUUACGGGAGGCAGCAGUAGGGAAUAUUGGUCAAUGGGCGCAAGCCUGAACCAGCCAUGCCGCGUGCAGGAAGACGGCCCUCUGGGUUGUAAACUGCUUUUGAUAGGGAACAAAUGCCACUUGCGAGUGGAGCUGAGUGUACCUAUAGAAUAAGCACCGGCUAACUCCGUGCCAGCAGCCGCGGUAAUACGGAGGGUGCAAGCGUUGUCCGGAUUUAUUGGGUUUAAAGGGUGCGUAGGCGGCCUAAUAAGUCAGUGGUGAAAGCCUCCAGCUUAACUGGAGAACUGCCAUUGAUACUGUUAGGCUUGAGUAUACUUGAGGUAGGCGGAAUUGACAGUGUAGCGGUGAAAUGCAUAGAUAUUGUCAAGAACACCAAUUGCGAAGGCAGCUUACUAAAUUAUAACUGACGCUGAGGCACGAAAGUGUGGGUAUCAAACAGGAUUAGAUACCCUGGUAGUCCACACUGU